UGCAAGUCGAGCGGAAACGAUGGAAGCUUGCUUCCAGGCGUCGAGCGGCGGACGGGUGAGUAAUGCAUAGGAAUCUGCCCGGUAGUGGGGGAUAACUCGGGGAAACUCGAGCUAAUACCGCAUACGUCCUACGGGAGAAAGUGGGCUUUUGCUCACGCUAUCGGAUGAGCCUAUGUCAGAUUAGCUAGUUGGUGRRGUAAAGGCUCACCAAGGCGACGAUCUGUAGCUGGUCUGAGAGGAUGAUCAGCCACACUGGGACUGAGACACGGCCCAGACUCCUACGGGAGGCAGCAGUGGGGAAUAUUGGACAAUGGGGGCAACCCUGAUCCAGCCAUGCCGCGUGUGUGAAGAAGGCUUUCGGGUUGUAAAGCACUUUCAGCGAGGAGGAAAGCGGUGUUGUUAAUACCAGCAUCGUGUGACGUUACUCGCAGAAGAAGCACCGGCAAACUCCGUGCCAGCAGCCGCGGUAAUACGGAGGGUGCGAGCGUUAAUCGGAAUUACUGGGCGUAAAGCGUGCGUAGGUGGUUAAGUAAGCCAGAUGUGAAAGCCCCGGGCUUAACCUGGGAACGGCAUCUGGAACUGCUUAACUAGAGUGCAGUAGAGGAAGGUAGAAUUCCACGUGUAGCGGUGAAAUGCGUAGAUAUGUGGAGGAAUACCAGUGGCGAAGGCGGCCUUCUGGACUGACACUGACACUGAGGUACGAAAGCGUGGGGAUCAAACAGGAUUAGAUACCCUGGUAGUCCACGCCGUAAACGAUGUCUACUAGCCGUUGGGCUCCUUGAGAGCUUAGUGGCGCAGCUAACGCAAUAAGUAGACCGCCUGGGGAGUACGGCCGCAAGGUUAAAACUCAAAUGAAUUGACGGGGGCCCGCACAAGCGGUGGAGCAUGUGGUUUAAUUCGAUGCAACGCGAAGAACCUUACCUACCCUUGACAUCC
RNAcentral lists this ribosomal RNA (936 nucleotides) under Marinospirillum sp. CR-66. RNAcentral's name for it is "bacterial SSU rRNA". It matches the Rfam family "Bacterial small subunit ribosomal RNA", at positions 56 to 989 of the family's 1533-position model. The record is from RNAcentral. Lineage: Bacteria; Pseudomonadati; Pseudomonadota; Gammaproteobacteria; Oceanospirillales; Oceanospirillaceae.